UUAGAGUUUUGANUCCUGGCUCAGAUUGAACGCUGGCGGCAGGCCUAACACAUGCAAGUCGAGCGGUAGAGAGAAGCUUGCUUCUCUUGAGAGCGGCGGACGGGUGAGUAAUGCCUAGGAAUCUGCCUGGUAGUGGGGGAUAACGUUCGGAAACGGACGCUAAUACCGCAUACGUCCUACGGGAGAAAGCAGGGGACCUUCGGGCCUUGCGCUAUCAGAUGAGCCUAGGUCGGAUUAGCUAGUUGGUGAGGUAAUGGCUCACCAAGGCGACGAUCCGUAACUGGUCUGAGAGGAUGAUCAGUCACACUGGAACUGAGACACGGUCCAGACUCCUACGGGAGGCAGCAGUGGGGAAUAUUGGACAAUGGGCGAAAGCCUGAUCCAGCCAUGCCGCGUGUGUGAAGAAGGUCUUCGGAUUGUAAAGCACUUUAAGUUGGGAGGAAGGGCAGUUACCUAAUACGUGAUUGUUUUGACGUUACCGACAGAAUAAGCACCGGCUAACUCUGUGCCAGCAGCCGCGGUAAUACAGAGGGUGCAAGCGUUAAUCGGAAUUACUGGGCGUAAAGCGCGCGUAGGUGGUUAGUUAAGUUGGAUGUGAAAUCCCCGGGCUCAACCUGGGAACUGCAUUCAAAACUGACUGACUAGAGUAUGGUAGAGGGUGGUGGAAUUUCCUGUGUAGCGGUGAAAUGCGUAGAUAUAGGAAGGAACACCAGUGGCGAAGGCGACCACCCUGGACUGAUACUGACCACUGAGGUGCGAAAAGCCGUGGGAGCAA
This 775-nucleotide ribosomal RNA is filed under the name Pseudomonas sp. BND-YL2. RNAcentral describes it as "bacterial SSU rRNA". It matches the Rfam family "Bacterial small subunit ribosomal RNA", at positions 1 to 771 of the family's 1533-position model. Lineage: Bacteria; Pseudomonadati; Pseudomonadota; Gammaproteobacteria; Pseudomonadales; Pseudomonadaceae. The record is from RNAcentral.